CCUACGGGUGGCAGCAGUCGAGAAUCAUUCACAAUGGGGGAAACCCUGAUGGUGCGACGCCGCGUGGGGGAAUGAAGGUCUUCGGAUUGUAAACCCCUGUCAUGUGGGAGCAAAUUAAAAAGAUAGUACCACAAGAGGAAGAGACGGCUAACUCUGUGCCAGCAGCCGCGGUACUACAGAGGUCUCAAGCGUUGUUCGGAAUCACUGGGCGUAAAGCGGGCGUAGGCUGUUUCGUAAGUCGUGUGUGAAAGGCGCGGGCUCAACCCGCGGACGGCACAUGAUACUGCGAGACUAGAGUAAUGGAGGGGGAACCGGAAUGCUCGGUGUAGCAGUGAAAUGCGUAGAUAUCGAGAGGAACACUCGUGGCGAAGGCGGGUUCCUGGACAUUAACUGACGCUGAGGCACGAAGGCCAGGGGAGCGAAAGGGAUUAGAUACCCCAGUAGUC
RNAcentral lists this ribosomal RNA (446 nucleotides) under uncultured bacterium. RNAcentral's name for it is "partial 16S ribosomal RNA". It matches the Rfam family "Bacterial small subunit ribosomal RNA", at positions 338 to 795 of the family's 1533-position model. The record is from RNAcentral.